RNAcentral lists this ribosomal RNA (658 nucleotides) under Sclerophytum heterospiculatum. Its description in RNAcentral is "partial 28S ribosomal RNA". It matches the Rfam family "Eukaryotic large subunit ribosomal RNA", at positions 402 to 861 of the family's 3401-position model. The record is from RNAcentral. Lineage: Eukaryota; Metazoa; Cnidaria; Anthozoa; Malacalcyonacea; Sarcophytidae.
AAACCGUUGAAAGGGAAGCGAAUGGAGUUAGCAAUUCGCCCUGCCAGAUUCAGUUGUUCGUGCUUCGCGACGUGCGCGCUCUCGAUCCGCAUGGACGUGACGUGCACGGGUGCGACGUGCGGACGGCGCACUUCUGGCGGGCGAGCGUCAGCGUCGGUCGCCGACGGGCGAUAAGGUCGCGAGGAAGGUAGACGUGCCUUCGGGCGCGUUGUUAAGACUCGCGUUCGCAUGGCUCGACGGCGACCGUGGCUCCUUCACACGGAGGCGACGCGUGCCUGGCUGGUGACUCGUGCGAUCGGUCCGGCAUGUCGACCGUGGCGGACGGCACGCCUGUGCGCUCAAACUGCUGCCGGUCGCUCGCACGAUGUUCGCACACUACGCGUCGAAGACGCUGACGACCAUACGGCUCCAUCCGACCCGUCUUGAAACACGGACCAAGGAGUCUAACAUGUGCGCAAGUCUCCGGGUGAUCGAAACCCGUGGGCGCAAUGAAAGUAAAGGUCGUCCUAGACGAUUGAGGUGAGAAGCGCGCUUCGUCUCGACGCGCGCCGCAUCAUCGACCGACCUAUUCUGCUCUCAGAAAGGUUUGAGUAAGAGCGUAUCUGUUGGGACCCGAAAGAUGGUGAACUAUGCCUGAAUAGGGUGAAGCCAGCGGAAA